This 253-nucleotide ribosomal RNA is filed under the name uncultured bacterium. RNAcentral describes it as "partial 16S ribosomal RNA". It matches the Rfam family "Bacterial small subunit ribosomal RNA", at positions 524 to 776 of the family's 1533-position model. The record is from RNAcentral.
UACGGAGGGGGCUAGCGUUGUUCGGAAUUACUGGGCGUAAAGCGCACGUAGGCGGCUUUGUAAGUUAGAGGUGAAAGCCCGGGGCUCAACUCCGGAAUUGCCUUUAAGACUGCAUCGCUCGAGUUGUGGAGAGGUAAGUGGAACUCCGAGUGUAGAGGUGAAAUUCGUAGAUAUUCGGAAGAACACCAGUGGCGAAGGCGACUUACUGGACACAUACUGACGCUGAGGUGCGAAAGCGUGGGGAGCAAACAGG